This is a non-coding RNA of Schizosaccharomyces pombe (fission yeast), 843 nucleotides long. Lineage: Eukaryota; Fungi; Ascomycota; Schizosaccharomycetes; Schizosaccharomycetales; Schizosaccharomycetaceae. The record is from the annotation of a GenBank genome assembly.
UUGGAAGUUGAGGCAUAAUAUUGAUUUGGAGAAGAAUUACGAACAGAAUCAGACGAUGGAACAUUGCUGUUCAUGUUGACCUUUAAUGCAGAGGUAGGUCGAAAAGAGGGGACCGGAUGAGCAGGAAUCAGAGGUUUCCGUUGUAACUCAUAAGGAUAAGAGAAUGCAUAUUCAUCAUGAUUUGGGACGGGUUGAUGAGUUAGGCCUUGCGAAAGGUCAUGCUGAGAAGAGAAUGACGGAAUAGUGGUAUUAGAGGAACCAUUUUGUUGUAGAUUUUGAUAAUCUUGCAUUUGGUUUAAAGAUGGGGACUGAGUAGGGAGAAUAUUUGAGCCGGUAAAGGAAUACGCAUUGGGUUGAGAGGAAUGGUCAGGAAGGACAGAGUAAUUGUUUUCAAAAGUUGCUGGCGGAUAAGGAUGCAUCUCAUUGGAAGGAUUCAUCGUUGUAUAAGGUGUGGAAUAGGUUUGGGUGUUAUCCUGUGAGUCCUCCUGAGGUAGACCAAAAGAAUGAAAUGAAGGAUUAGCAAAUGCUGUGCCAUCUGCGUUCAACGCUUGAGAUUCGUUUUUUUCCGAGUAAUACGGACUCACUGAAGACGUGGAGUGGGCCUUGGAGCUACUGAUGGCGGGUGAAACCGAGUCUCCAUAGAUGCGAACGGGUUCCUGUAAAGAGGUGGAUUUGGCGAGUGAAUACAAUUGUGGAGACUCUAAAUUAGCAUUGAUGGAUCCUAUUGCUGUAGCGACUCUUCUUAUGUUCCUAGUUGAAUCAUAAAACUCCUGUGUUUUAAUAUCUUCGGAAGAAGGACGUUUCUGAACGUUUGGGGACAUAGAAUUUGACGAAGGUGAAAAG